GACGAACGCUGGCGGCGUGCCUAAUACAUGCAAGUCGAGCGAAUGACGAGAAGCUUGCUUCUCUGAUUUAGCGGCGGACGGGUGAGUAACACGUGGGCAACCUGCCCUACAGAUCGGGAUAACUCAGGGAAACCUGGGCUAAUGUCGGAUAAUCCUUCGAAUCACAUGUUUUGAAGUUGAAAGGCGCUUCGGCGUCACUGUAGGAUGGGCCCGCGGUGCAUUAGCUAGUUGGUGGGGUAACGGCCUACCAAGGCAACGAUGCAUAGCCGACCUGAGAGGGUGAUCGGCCACAUUGGGACUGAGACACGGCCCAAACUCCUACGGGAGGCAGCAGUAGGGAAUCUUCCACAAUGGACGAAAGUCUGAUGGAGCAACGCCGCGUGAGUGAUGAAGGCUUUCGGAUCGUAAAACUCUGUUGUAAGGGAAGAACAAGUACGUUAGGAAAUGAACGUACCUUGACGGUACCUUAUUAGAAAGCCACGGCUAACUACGUGCCAGCCGCCGCAGUAA
This 510-nucleotide ribosomal RNA is filed under the name uncultured bacterium. RNAcentral describes it as "partial 16S ribosomal RNA". It matches the Rfam family "Bacterial small subunit ribosomal RNA", at positions 28 to 523 of the family's 1533-position model. The record is from RNAcentral.